AAUCCUAAGAGACGGGGGAAGCCUGUCCCAUAACGCGUCCAGCGCGAGCUUCGAAAGGGAAUCGAGUUAAAAUUCUUGAACUGGGACGCGACAGCUAACGGCAACAUUAGGGAGUCUAGAGACGUCGGUGGGGACCUCGGGAAGAGUUAUCUUUUUUGUUUAACGGCUUGCCCACCCUGGAAACGGCUCAGCCGGAGGUAGAGUCUAGCGGUCGGAAGAGGUAGGGUCCAGCGGCCGGAAGAGCACCGCACGUCGCGUGGUGUCUGGUGCGCCAUCAAAUUGUAGAAUGUCAGCAUCGAUGAGACCUUGAACCUUUUUUUAAAGGUAAGAUGAUUUUCUCUAGAAUGCCACUGAUU
Molecule: non-coding RNA, 356 nt
Filed under: Gossypium hirsutum (cotton)
Lineage: Eukaryota; Viridiplantae; Streptophyta; Magnoliopsida; Malvales; Malvaceae
Description: Eukaryotic large subunit ribosomal RNA
Rfam family: Eukaryotic large subunit ribosomal RNA
Source: Rfam by way of RNAcentral